This 329-nucleotide ribosomal RNA is filed under the name uncultured eukaryote. RNAcentral's name for it is "partial 18S ribosomal RNA". It matches the Rfam family "Eukaryotic small subunit ribosomal RNA", at positions 1470 to 1796 of the family's 1831-position model. The record is from RNAcentral.
CCCUUAGAUGUUCUGGGCCGCACGCGCGCUACACUGAUGCAUUCAACGAGUCUAAAACCUGCUCUGAUAGGGGUGGGUAAUCUUUUGAAUGUGCAUCGUGAUUGGGAUAGAUGAUUGCAAUUUUUCAUCUUCAACGAGGAAUGCCUAGUAAACGCAAGUCAUCAGCUUGUAUUGAUUACGUCCCUGCCCUUUGUACACACCGCCCGUCGCUCCUACCGAUUGAAUGAUCCGAUGAAUAUCAUGGAUUGAGGAUGCAAGCAGGUUCGCCUGUCUUCAUCUUCGAGAAGUGAAGUAAAUCUUAUCAUUUAGAGGAAGGAGAAGUCGUAACA